Molecule: ribosomal RNA, 253 nt
Filed under: uncultured bacterium
Lineage: Bacteria
Description: partial 16S ribosomal RNA
Rfam family: Bacterial small subunit ribosomal RNA
Source: RNAcentral
UACGGAGGGUGCAAGCGUUGUCCGGAUUUAUUGGGUUUAAAGGGUGCGUAGGCGGCUCCUUAAGUCAGCGGUGAAAGCCCGGGGCUCAACCCCGGAACCGCCGUUGAUACUGGGGGGCUUGAGUAUGGACGAGGUUGGCGGAAUUGAGGGUGUAGCGGUGAAAUGCUUAGAUACCACCAAGAACCCCGAUUGCGUAGGCAGCUCGCUAGGCCGAAACUGACGCUGAGGCACGAAAGCGUGGGGAGCGAACAGG